GGGAUUGUGGCUCAGUGGUAGAGCGCUUGCCUAGCACACAUGAGGUCCUGGGUUCAACUCUCAGCAUCCCA
Molecule: transfer RNA, 71 nt
Filed under: Ictidomys tridecemlineatus (thirteen-lined ground squirrel)
Lineage: Eukaryota; Metazoa; Chordata; Mammalia; Rodentia; Sciuridae
Description: Spermophilus tridecemlineatus (thirteen-lined ground squirrel) tRNA
Rfam family: tRNA
About the family: Transfer RNA (tRNA) molecules are approximately 80 nucleotides in length. Their secondary structure includes four short double-helical elements and three loops (D, anti-codon, and T loops).
Source: Rfam by way of RNAcentral